This is a long non-coding RNA of Gavialis gangeticus (Gharial), 427 nucleotides long. RefSeq lists it as uncharacterized. The record is from RefSeq and is a predicted model, not a curated record. The transcript has 2 exons. NCBI's taxonomy places the organism in Eukaryota, Metazoa, Chordata, Crocodylia, Gavialidae.
CUUAAAUGUGGAUGGGUGUCAGUGCUAGGUUGAGUUUGAAACAGUCACAUAUUCAGGCAAGCAGGGGGCUGGAAGACUGAAAGUACAAUGGGGAGAUGGCUUUCUGGGAAUGGACAAGAGGUCUAGUCUUCAAGAACCCUGCCUCAUCUUAUUCAGGUAGUGGGAAGCAGAAGAGGCAAGGAACAGCCAGAAAAGGAGGUCCCUGGAAGCUUUGUACAGGCUGAGGCUAAUGGCUCCUGCUAUCACCCUUGUUUUGAGCAAUGCCAAGCACUCUAACAACCUUUGUUCUUUCUUUCUCACUUUUAAAAUUCCCUGUGGCAUUUUUGUAGAAGUAGAUUUAGUUAACUCAGCUGAAAUGUCUCUUCCUUCUUUCUUGUGCAUCCUAUUGCUCAGCUUAAUUUAUAAACUUCUUUAGGUCAAUCAGGAU